GAUGAACGCUAGCGAUAGGCUUAACACAUGCAAGUCGAGGGGCAUCGAGGGUAGCAAUACCUGUCGGCGACCGGCGCACGGGUGAGUAACGCGUAUGUAACCUGCCCGCAACAGAGGGAUAACCCGGCGAAAGUCGGACUAAUACCUCAUAAAACAGGGGUUCCGCAUGGGGCUAUUUGUUAAAGAUUUAUUGGUUGCGGAUGGGCAUGCGUACCAUUAGGUAGUUGGUGAGGUAACGGCUCACCAAGCCAUCGAUGGUUAGGGGUUCUGAGAGGAAGGUCCCCCACACUGGUACUGAGACACGGACCAGACUCCUACGGGAGGCAGCAGUGAGGAAUAUUGGUCAAUGGGCGAGAGCCUGAACCAGCCAAGUCGCGUGAAGGAAGACAGUCCUAAGGAUUGUAAACUUCUUUUAUACGGGAAUAACGGGCGAUACGAGUAUUGCAUUGAAUGUACCGUAAGAAUAAGCAUCGGCUAACUCCGUGCCAGCAGCCGCGGUAAUACGGAGGAUGCGAGCGUUAUCCGGAUUUAUUGGGUUUAAAGGGUGCGUAGGUUGUUCGGUAAGUCAGCGGUGAAACCUGAGCGCUCAACGUUCAGCCUGCCGUUGAAACUGCCGGGCUUGAGUUCAGUGGCGGCAGGCGGAAUUCGUGGUGUAGCGGUGAAAUGCAUAGAUAUCACGAGGAACUCCGAUUGCGAAGGCAGCUUGCCAUACUGCGACUGACACUGAAGCACGAAGGCGUGGGUAUCAAACAGG
Molecule: ribosomal RNA, 754 nt
Filed under: uncultured Porphyromonas sp.
Lineage: Bacteria; Pseudomonadati; Bacteroidota; Bacteroidia; Bacteroidales; Porphyromonadaceae
Description: bacterial SSU rRNA
Rfam family: Bacterial small subunit ribosomal RNA
Source: RNAcentral